CGACCCUUCCGUCGGGUGCGUGCGCUGGAGGGGGGAGAGAGAGCAAAGGAGAGGGCUUAGGCGGCGGUGCUGACGGCGGUCUCCCUCUCCUUGACCGAGGCGAGAAGGUACGUUGUUGUGGUUGCGGUAGCAGAGGACCUCCUCACCCACCCUCCUCUUCCGCCGCCGUCAAAGCUAGACAGUAGACGGAGCUGCCCCCUCUUCCGCCUAGCUAGGCUAGCUUCACCGACGGCCUUCCUACCCUGCUUCUUCAGCAGCAACCGACCGGCUCCCAGUCCACUCCUGCUCCCCUUCGCCGAUGCUCGUGCGGUAGCCACAACCUAGCUACCACAGUACGGAGACGCCGGCCCUAAUCCGAUCCGUCUACUCUUCGUCGCCGCGCGGGGGUGAGGUGGCUCGAGGUAUAGUUACCGUUGUAGUCGCUCCACUCGUCGCCGAUUUCCGAGGGUGGACUUCUUUAGCUCCGCAACCGCCGCCUCAGCUACCCCUCUUCCGGGGCGGAACUACGUCAACCUCUGCGACGACCGCGAGUCGGAGUUUGUCGUUUCAGUGGAACAUUGCUUCCGUGGCGGGUCCUUGAAGAGUCCGCCGUCUAAAGCCGAACAGUUGUUCCAGCAGAGUGUGGGGAGAAGAAGAGGGGAACCAAGAUAAGCUAAACCUACGAGACACAUACUAAACAAAGAAACAGUUCGACGUAUAGAGAACACAUAUCAAAGUUGAUGUAACUUCAAUACGUAGGUAAAAGUAACGUAGUGAAUGGUGUUCUACAUAGGUUAUUUAGGAACAUAUAUAUCACUGCUCGCAUUUGUCACUACAAGCAUUCCUAAACCAGAUGCUUGCCCCUACAUAUGUUCGUCACGAAUAGAGCCCUUACACACUGUCACCACUUUGUGUCCUUUUAUGGAUCGUUUUGUUCAUUCUCCCGGUUGCCUAAAAAAAAUGUUCCCGGUGUACUAAUAAGUUCCAUAUGGCACCGGGCACCCAUUUUAGCGGGGACAUGGAAACACACUUCAAACAACUUUACUAAAACCUUGAUCUCGCGACUAUUAUGAAUGGAUAAUUCCGAGCGUCAUAUGGGGAGGUGUGACGAGACGGUUAAAAAGAAAACCUUUCUGAUAACAGUAUACCAGAAGGCCUCAUGGUAUAUUGUGUACUUUUAAUACUUCUCGAAACUUCUAAAUACCUCGUCAGAGACUGAGGUUAAUUUCUACAUGAGUACGUCAGUCCGUACUUUUAACCACUGUAGAUACGACAUCUCGAUUAUCCUCCUCGAUGGUCCCAACCUAAGGCCGCCUAGCCGUUAGCCGUCCGGCCGACCUAGCACACGGGCGGACAAGAAUUAAACUUUCUUAUUUAGUAACCACGAGAUCCAACGACCUCUUGGAACCUCCAACUAAGUACCCUUAGUAAUGGUCCGCGUUUGAGAGGACAUGGAUUAAAAGUAACUCAAAGAAAUACCACGGUCAUGAUCCUCGAGGAGCAGUGGACUCACCAACUAAGUAAACUUAGCAAUGGUUCGGCCACUCCUGCUCAACAACAGAGGAUCUCACCACCAGCUCUAAGCUCUCAGUUCCCGUCGCCACUUCCAAUCUCUCCUUUUAUUUCAUUCGUCGCUCGUCUACAUCGCACCCCACGUUCCCUUGAUCCGCCGAUAGUUCUUAAAGUCUACCACCACUCUACAAAGCCCAGCUGGUACACCUUAAAGAUACACAUGCGAGUACUCCCAGGGAGCGGCACGGCACCUGUGUCGCCGGAGCGGCCUGGUACCACGUCUGCUCGGUACUCGAUUGCAUCAACCACCGAGGGCAGUGUGUGUGGCCGACCAAGAUGAGGCCGUUCGGUGGCGGCGGCGACGUGUAGAGCUAGAGAGGGGCACAGAGGAAGUCCGUUCCCACGACCUGCGCCGCCUGCCCUCUAUUUCGCCACCUCGACAGUCAGGCAGUUGCGAGAAAGAUUUCACCACAGCCAUUUUUAUCGAUUGAACAUCCAACAAUCAUGACACGAUGUUAAGGCGAAUGAAUAUACCUUUCUCUGUUCUAAGUAAAGGUAACGGAUACUACCUAAAGCUAAACGAAAAGUGUACUUCGUAGUUGUAUUUAGCAACUGGUUUCUCGUAGUAACGGUACACGUACACGAUUGUUCUUGACUUGUUUCGUUGAACUUAACCGCUUCCGUAUGGACCGUGGCGUCUUAGUGGUGAGUCCGCCGCGUGGUGACCACGCGGGGUUGGUG
Molecule: ribosomal RNA, 2232 nt
Filed under: Triticum aestivum (bread wheat)
Lineage: Eukaryota; Viridiplantae; Streptophyta; Magnoliopsida; Poales; Poaceae
Description: partial small subunit ribosomal RNA
Source: RNAcentral